UGGAAAACAUGGGCCCAGGCUUCCUGCCCGACGUUUAUCGAAAUCUUCCAGCUGCUGGAAGAAAACAUUAAUGCAGUACAACCCAUUGGACUACCUAUCACUAGCCAGGUGCAAUCCAUGGUUCUGGAAACAUUUUCAAAGUUUCUGAAAAGGUACGAGGCCGAGGCCGCCCACUUCCUCCACCAGAACGCCACUGCUGGGCCCCUCCCCGAGGUGCACGUGCUGGCAAACUGCUGCAUCCUCAGGGAAACGUGGCAGGAGCUGAGCUGGGCACACAUUCUGCCGGCACAUCUGGACGCUGUCGUGCAAGACACCAUCCACGACAUCGAGAGCCACAGCCGGGACCACUUCCUGUUUAAGGGCAGAGCCCUGUGCAAGGUGCCGUCCCCCAGUGCCCCAGCCCUGUGUGGGGUCUUCUCUGUUCCCAGAGAACCAAGGCAGGAGGCGCCUGCCUGUGUCUCCCUGGACUUCUGCCCAGCCCAGCAGAGCCUUUGCUGGGGUGGGACACGGCAGGGCCCCGGUGGCGGACUUGGUUGGAGAGGUUCCUGGUCAGGCCUUCUGCCUUCCUCAGGCCGGAGUUCUUUGUCUGGAGCAGCAGGCUGGGCCAGCUGGGACGAGGGUGGGUGGGUGCGGAGGGUGGGUGGGUGCAGCUGGACUUGGCCUCUCCUCCUGUUCUGA
Molecule: long non-coding RNA, 678 nt
Filed under: Canis lupus dingo (dingo)
Lineage: Eukaryota; Metazoa; Chordata; Mammalia; Carnivora; Canidae
Description: lncRNA (ENSCAFG00020008764.1)
Source: RNAcentral